UGGUGGAGUGAUUUGUCUGGUUAAUUCCGAUAACGAACGAGACUCUAGCCUGCUAAAUAGACGGGCGAUCCCUUCGUGGGUCGACCCGAUUUGCUUCUUAGAGGGACAAGUGGCGUUCCUAGCAACGCGAAAUUGAGCAAUAACA
Molecule: ribosomal RNA, 145 nt
Filed under: uncultured eukaryote
Lineage: Eukaryota
Description: partial 18S ribosomal RNA
Rfam family: Eukaryotic small subunit ribosomal RNA
Source: RNAcentral